This 867-nucleotide long non-coding RNA is filed under the name Papio anubis (olive baboon). RNAcentral's name for it is "lncRNA (ENSPANG00000044316.1)". Lineage: Eukaryota; Metazoa; Chordata; Mammalia; Primates; Cercopithecidae. The record is from RNAcentral.
CCCUUUGUUGUGCCCAAUUUCUCCCAUUUGGAACAUCUGUAUUUACUCAAUUACUUAUACCCCCAUUGUAUUUAGGAAGUAACUAGCUUGCUUUUGAGUUUACAGGCUCAUAGGCAGAAGAGACUUGCCUUGUCUCAGAUGAGACUUCGGACAGUGGACAUUUGGGUUAAUGCUGAAAUGAGUUAAGACUUUGGGGGACUGUUGGGAAAGCAUGAUUGGUUUUGAAAUGUGAGGACAUGAGAUUUUGAGAGGCCAGGGACAGAAUAAUAUGGUUUGUCUGUGUCCCCACCCAAAUCUUAACUUAAAUUGUAUCACCCAGAAUUCCCACAUGUUGUGGGAGGGGCCCAGGGGGAGGUAAUCGAGUCAUGGGGGCCAGUCUUUCGUGUGCUAUUCUUGUGAUAGUGAAUAAGUCUCAUGAGAUCUGAUAGGUUUAUCAGGGUUUCCGCUUUUGCUUCCUUCUCAUUUUCUCUUGGCGCUGCCAUGUGAGACGUGCCUUUCAUCCCCUGCCAUGACUCUGAGGUCUCCCUAGCCCUGUGGAACCAUAAGUCCAAUUAAGCCUCUUUUCCUUCCCAGUCUCGGGUAUGUCAGCUGAGGUCACUUUGUAAGGAAAAUUGAGAUUGUGUUCCCAAGAUUCCAGUCACUUCCCAGGGACACUGGCUCGGUUCUUGUUCUUACCCAGUUCACUGUCUCAGCUUCCAGAGGACAGAACCUUACCUCACCGGAUCCUUAACAGCUCCUCAUUCCCUGCCUCCUCACCACCCUACCACCUCAGCUGCUGGAAACCAUCAUUCUAUUCUCUAUGUCUAUGAAUUCAACUUAUUAGAUCCACAAAGAGGUAAGAUUAUUCAAUAUUUGUCUUUCUGUGCU